GACGAACGCUGGCGGCGUGCUUAACACAUGCAAGUCGAACGGAAAGGCCCCUUUGGGGGUACUCGAGUGGCGAACGGGUGAGUAACACGUGAGUAACCUGCCCUUGACUUCGGGAUAACUUCAGGAAACUGGGGCUAAUACCGGAUAGGAAUCCUUGCUGCAUGGUGGGGGUUGGAAAGCUUCGGCGGUUUUGGAUGGACUCGCGGCUUAUCAGCUUGUUGGUGGGGUAGUGGCUUACCAAGGCUUUGACGGGUAGCCGGCCUGAGAGGGCGACCGGCCACAUUGGGACUGAGAUACGGCCCAGACUCCUACGGGAGGCAGCAGUGGGGAAUAUUGCACAAGGGGCGGAAGCCUGAUGCAGCAACGCCGCGUGCGGGAUGACGGCCUUCGGGUUGUAAACCGCGUUCAGCAGGGGCGAAGCUUGUGGUGACGGUACCUGCAGAAGAAGCACCGGCUAACUACGUG
This 465-nucleotide ribosomal RNA is filed under the name uncultured bacterium. Its description in RNAcentral is "partial 16S ribosomal RNA". It matches the Rfam family "Bacterial small subunit ribosomal RNA", at positions 28 to 507 of the family's 1533-position model. The record is from RNAcentral.